Non-coding RNA from Elaeis guineensis (African oil palm), 4737 nucleotides. Lineage: Eukaryota; Viridiplantae; Streptophyta; Magnoliopsida; Arecales; Arecaceae. The record is from RefSeq and is a predicted model, not a curated record.
AAAGUCGGCAAACGGCGGCUCCGUUUGUUCUCACCAAACGCUAUCCUGUCCCCACUCGAGGCCCCACCUUCAUCUCCUUCUCUCUCCCUCCCGUGCCUAGGUUAGCUCCGGCCAAAGCUUUACCUCCUCCGGCCGAGAAGUAAACUGGACGGGCAUCUACUUCCACAUCGGCGGGUGCUUACACCCCUGCCCGCCCCCGAUCCCAUUCAUCUUAAGACCCCAUCAAAUCCGGAGCCUUCCAGCAUAAAGGGCAAGGGCGGAGGCCGGAGCCUGUCACCACAGAAUGCUACCAGAGGCCGUGCGAUUGGGAUCGGAGCGACCUCCAUCACGCCGUCGGACGAGCCACGGAGGACGAUGACAGGGUUGAAGGGAAGGAGUGGUUGUCGCCAGGAGCAGCGGAUCUUUGUGUCGGCGGGAAGGGUCUCAACCUCCUGGAGGAAUAAUGGCGUUCUCUAGCCACAGCGUCACCGGCAGCUGGGAGUGGCGCAGAUCUAACCGGAGCCAAUCUAGGUUAUGGGAGGGGAGUCUCUGCAGCUGGAGGUAAUCUCCGUUAGUUUCCUCAAAGUUGACUCGUUUGACUCGCUAGUCACCUGCAAAGCGAGAGACGUGGCACGUAAAGAGAAGGCCUUCGUACGAUGCAUUAUAGAUGGGCCAUCUAAAGAAUAUUUUUUUAUUCGGGACAUACCAUGGUGCUAUCGGCAUUGCGAAUAAUAACUUCGCCAGGAGCUCCCACCCCCAUCCGGUCUUCCUCGGAGCUCUUUCCAUCUCCAUUCUUGUGCCAUUCCCUUGGGCAUCCCAAGGAGCAAGGACAACUGCAUCAAGGUCCCCUGCCCAUCCUUCUUCACAACAUUUAUUUCUCCACCCAUCUUGUUUACCUACGAACCAUCAUAAGCAAUCCACUAUGUCGCUUCUUGGUUAGCUGGUUACUCUUCAAGGAUUCAAGUAUUUUGCUUUUAAUAAAAAUGUCAGUGGCAAGUGCAUCUUUCAAAUUGUUCAUGAACACAUGAGACAUUGUAAUCAAUAUUUACAAAAGAAUCAAAUGAUCAUUACAAAUUAUUUGCUUCAACUAGCCAAGUAGCACUCAUGAAGUUUAUAUAAACUUAUCAAUAUGCAGACACAGCCAAUGGCAAGAAAGCAAAUAGAUGCAGAUAUCAGUAUAACCAAUGUUGUAAAGCCUAUUUGGUCAACCUUUCCGAGUAUGUAUUUCCUUGGAAUGAUGAUUACCCCAACCUGCAGAAAGUUUCAAUUACAAUAAAACUUUCAUGGAAAGCUGGAAGCAUAAAUUGCCAGUGAUGUCAUCUUGUGCAACAAAGAAAAGAGACUGGCGAAACUUAUCUUAUAAUAUGAACCCUAUUGAAGACUUGGAAUUCUUACCAAGGGAAGCCUUGUCAGAUUUAGGAAAAAUGAAUCUAUGUAAUAUCGCUGAUUACCCAGCAAGACAUUCUCAGCAUGAACUUCAUGAUUGAUUGGAAACUUAUUGCCAUAUGCUCUCUGUAACCACUCUGCUCCUGAUCUUAUAAUAUGAUCUUCGAAAUCAGUAGCCAUCAUAAGCUUCCGACCUGUUGUAUUCCUCAAUAGUGGAGCAUCUGUAGAUGUUGCAAGUACAUAACCUUCCAAUGAAGUCAAAUACAUGUAGCCACUGUGGAAGUCUACAAGUUCCUUCAUCAGCUGACCAACGCUUUUAAGUGCUGUUGUGACACCAACGGCUGCCACUAUGCUUCCUCCAGAAGGAUGCCUGACUGGUAAUGCUGCUGAAAGCAGUGGUGAGUCUGUAAACUUGCUCACGGCUACACGCCAAGAAGCAGCACCAUCUUGUACUUCUGCGAGACCUGCAAUCUUAAUCAGAUCAUCUGGGGGAAUUUGCCUCCGAUCACCCUUUUUUUCACCAGUGACAGGGUCAAGUCUUUCUCUAUACCAAAUGGCAGAGGCAGGUCUGUCUCUAGGUUUGUGAAUAUGGCCAUGAUGUGCUUUUCCUUGAUUGACUGAUGAAUUUACUAGUUCACAGUAGAUGUAGAAUGUAGUGUUGCUCCGGUGGUCUCUAUGAAAUGCCUGGACAAAUCCAUUUCUGUAACUUAUGGUUAUUGCAUCAAGAGCUGUUCUGCUUGAAAAAAGUGCCCAUGUUACAUCCCUCAUCAUUUGGUGUAGCUGUCAAGAUCAAUGAUACUAAUUACUUUGAAAUGUUUUUUAUGGGAAAGCGAUUUUGGAACAAAAUGAUAAAUAAUGAGUAAUAUAUCGACCUCAGCUGGUUCCUGGGACAAUGGUUUCUCAUAAUGACUGAUGACAUAUUCGGAUAGCUUAACUUGCGCCAUUGUUAUUUCUACAGUGGAAUUCAGGAUGUUCCACACUCUUAAAAUGGGUCGCUGUAGAAGUUCAUAGCGAAGGCCAUAAGCUAAGCUAUUUAUAGAGUUCAUUGUAUAAACCUUUGUAAAAUGCCAUGUCAGCAUGGUCAGCAUCCCAAUUAAAAUAGCGAGCAUGACCUGCAAUUAGAAGAGAGAAGAAUAGUAGGUAUAUACAACAUGUAUGUAAUUUCUAUAAAAGCAUAUUCAUUUUGGUGCAAUAUAAAGACAUUUGAAUAAAAGUUGCUGCUGCCUUAAAUUUCCCAAAUUAUUUGUUUACAGUUUGUAACACAUUAGCAGCAUUAAUUGGGUCAGUGUUCUGUAUUGAGCAACCACAUCUUCAAUCAAAUUAAUGAUAUGACACAAUCAUGCAAGAAGUCGUGUCCUCACCAAUAUCAUGCAAAAAAGAGAGGGUAGGAAGGGAGGGAGAGAGAGCUCAGGCAACGUAUUCAUGAUAACUUAGUCUUUAUGCUUUUGUACUGUAACAAGCAAAUUAGGAAAUGUAUCAUUGGAUGAAUACAUUGGUUCAUUGGCAGCUUAGUGGCCAAAUUCCUGGAUCACACCUUUUGCACAUCAUACUAGGAAUUAGUUAUAUAAAGAUUAUGUAGAAAUUAGACAAGCCUCAAGUGUACCAGGUCUGUCAUUUUACUGACAAUUAUGUGAAGCAACUUAGGAAAAGAUGUAGGACCAAAAUAUUUGGCCAGCUGGGAACACUGAAAUAUAUGGAAAAUAAAGUGGACCCUCAGCAUAUGGGGUCACUAUCUUAAAUCUGUUGUUUUAUGCUUCCAAAAUCAUGGAAUUCUUUCUUCUUCUUUUUUUUUUGAAUGCAUUCUACUGCAUUUCUGGAUCCCAAACUGCAGUGUGCCUGCAUCUGCAUGGAUGAAGUUUAUUCACUAACAGUGGGUCACAGGCAUGUGUCAUGGAGUUUUUUUAUCUACAACACUUGUGCCUUCCCAAGGAAGUAAUAUUUACUUUCCGAUUCAUAAUGAUCUUCUUCAUUAUUCCUUUUCCUAGUAUUCAGUCUCAUGUAUUCAUUUGAGGCAAGAUAUCCAAAUUGUUUUCUUCCGGAAAUCAAAGCAAGGAGCCAGCAAAAUCCCUUACCAUGAUGGCCAGGCGUGCAACAAAGAUGCUGUAGUAGGAGGAGAGACAGCGGGUAGUUUGGUAGUUGAAUUCCUCUUCUUCUGGCUGCCCAUGGAUAAUUUUCUUCUGUGGAAGGAUGGAUGUUCUGUUCUCUGUGCACUUGAUGAAGGUCUGGAGCUUCUUGAAGAGCUUUGCCAAUGGCUUCAUCAUUGCUGAAGGAGUCUGAUGUGCUCCUGCCAUGCUUCAUCUACCCAGAACAUGAGAUAAAAUAUUCUGCACUACUAAAUAGCCAUUGUGGUGAAGCAAUUGAGCUUUGUCUAUUCCCACUUAUUGAACAUGGAUUCUGGAGCGACUUUCAAAAAGCGGUUCUCUCAUCUUAUUUUUCUUCCAUAUUCUCUCGGCUAUUGUUAUUCUUUAGAAGUUGGCUGGCUGGUGGACAGAAAUUUAAAAUGAUAGAGAACAUUAAAAUUACUGUGAUGACCUUGACUAAUCUUGGAAGUAAGUAUCUUUUCUGAUCCGACUUAAUUUUAGUGUCAAGGGUGAUUUUUGGUUGGAAGGAAUUCUCUAUUGGAUGCUACAUUAGGGAGUUCUGACUUGUUGGGUUAAGUUACCUGUGAACAAAGACAGAGAAAGAGCAAAAUAACUCAUAUUUGUUGUCCAAAACUAAACAAAGAUCGCAUUGGAUGUCAUUAUCAUGUGGCCAUUUUGAUGUCUCCAGUCUAUAGCUGACCUUGACUCCACAAUCAGAUGGAUGUGCACAAGAUGUUCAGCUGGAAUACUUUAUAUAUUUUUUGGUCCAUUCAGUAUGAUUGGUAACAUAGAAGAUCCAACUACUUUCUGGCGAAGAAGACAUACUACCAUAGUAUGGUAGCAUCUGAGUAUUUUUGGCUGCUUUAAUGUUCUGAAAAUAGAGGGAUAAACUAUUCCUAGGAGUGGCUUUGGACAAAAGGAUAUUUGCAUUGUCGAUGGCUACCAGCACACCACCAAAGUCUCUUGAGACCAAUUUUUCAAGAGUUUUCGAUCGACGCAGAAUGAUCAAUUGGAAAAUUUGCAUCUUAAUUACUGUCGACAAAAGCUACUUUGCUUUGCUAGGUUGCAACGGCUAGGUGAAUAAUACGGCUCCUGUGGAUGGUCAUGGUGAAACUUGGGGUGUACAAAUGAUUCGGUUAAUCGAAAAUUGAAUAAUUAUUUUUGUGUUUGGUUUGGAUUUUUUUUGAAAAUUUCAGUUUUGGCUUAUAACCAAAUUGAAAUUUUUUUAAUCGGUUCGAUCUUUGAUAUUUUAUUUAAUAAUUUUGAUUAAUCAAAAAUCAAAAUUAUUUGA